Long non-coding RNA from Macaca fascicularis (crab-eating macaque), 2459 nucleotides. Lineage: Eukaryota; Metazoa; Chordata; Mammalia; Primates; Cercopithecidae. The record is from Ensembl.
UUACCCACAAAGUUGCAUUUAUUGUAAUAAGCACAGAAAAAUGUUUCCUGUGAUAAGAAAUAUCCAAAACAACACAUGCUUUCUCAGCUCCCCUUCCAUCUUUACUAGAUUAUGUAUUACUUUCCAAAUCAGUCCUUUCAGAAUUCGAUGAUGUUACAGGAGUUUACAUACCUGAUUUUAAGAGUUUAAAAUACUUAGUUUACAAAAUAUUUUGAGUCUCUGUUUAAAAUGGUAUUUGUACUGUUAAUAUCAUCAUUAUGAUUCAGAAAAUAUUCACAUAGUGAAUUUUCCUACAAUCUAAUUCUGGACAAUAAGCUGGUCUUGAACUCCUGGCCUCAAACAAUCCUGUCACCUCAGCCUCCCAGAGUGCUGGAGUACAACUAAUUUAAACAUACUUUUUUUUUUUAAACUGUUCAAAAUAUUUUGCUCUUUGUUUUACCUAAUUAUAUUUGCAGCAAUGUUUCACAGCCUACCAAUACGUUGUUGCUUAUCUGUUAGAUUUUGAUUCAUGAAACCUGAAAAUAAAUCAGAUUUAGGAACUGUUUUCCAAGAUAGUGAUAUAUUAUUAUCUAACGUAUCUUUACACAUGAAAUGCUGGAUUAUCUCAGUAGAUAUCAAAUUAAUUUAAGACCUUACCAAGUAGUACUCAAUAUGCACUCAUUCUGAUGCAUAUAAAAGACAAAAAUGAGUAAAAAGUGAAAUCCUCUACUUUUAAAUCCUACACUGUCCUCAACUAUUGUUAUCCAAUUUUUAAUUUUAGUACACUAAGUACAACUCAAUUUUUUUUUUCUUUCUUUUUCAGACAGGGUCUCACUCUGUCACCCAGGCUGGAGUCCUGUGGUGUAAUCACAGUUCACUGUGGCCUCAACCUCCUAGGCCCAAGCCAUCCUCCCACCUCAGCCUCCUGACUAGCUGGGACUACAGGCAUGGGCCACCAGGCCCGGAACAUUUAUUUAUUUUUUAUUUUUAGUAGAAACAAGGUCUGGCAGGCUGUCUUGAACUCCUGGCCUCAAAUGAUCCUGUCACCUCGGCCUCCCAAAGUGCUGGAGUACAACUAAUUUAAAAGGCAGUCAUUGAAACAUAUUUCUUGUUCUCUUUUCCAUAAUGGAGUCAUGACUUUAAAUCAUAAGUGCAGUAUCCUUAGAAACUGCCCAGCUUUAUCAGAAAUAAGUUCUGAAUAUAUUGUCAAUUGUGAAAAGACAAAAGAUCAUAGUUCCUAAUAUUCAGUUCUAAUGGUAUGGUUCCCAAAAUGUAAAAGUUGUGACUGAGGCAAUUAUUUCAAGAGAGCUUCAGCUGUAAAUGAACACAAAACUGAAUUCCUUUGCCAUGCAAACAAGAGGCACACUUUCAACCAGUAACAGCUGGCUUCACAUAUUCAUCUUUGGAUGAAAAGAGCAGGGCAGUUUUAAAGUUGACUUCUGAGAGCAUCAGAUUUUGGAUAGUGUCCUUUCUCAGGUCCUGUUUUCUUGUCUCCUCAUCCCAUUUUCAAAGCCAGACAAAUAAACCCCCUCACUCCUUUAGCGAAGGGCUCAGUGAGGGCGUUUUGCCACCCGUGGCCAGGGGUCACUGGGUCAGCAAAGUCAGAGGAAGCCUUGAAAGGCAGAAGGCCAGGAGACUGACGCCCUGCGGGACUAGGGGCCAGGUGCUGGGUGUCUCUCCUUUCGUCUGCGGUCCCCAGCAGCAGGUCCUGGUGGGCGCAGACUGACUGGAGAGGUGCAGCUCGUCCCCUCCUCAGACCCCGAAGUGGCAAUGAAACCUCCAUCUCCUGGCUUGAUUCUUAGUGCUAUAAAAAAUCUUCCACUGGCCCUUUGCAUCUCUAGCCCUCCAUCCCCCAAAGCCACUAGCGGGAGGGGACAAAAAUAAUUUCUGAGGGGCCACGGGCACUAAAACCACAGCAGACAGAGGCUGUGUCUACCUGAGGAACUGGAGAGGUAGAAUUAGCGGGGGAGGCUGGGCCUCCUCGGCGGCGCCCCUCCAUCCAGCGUGAAACCCACGAGGCGCGGCGUCCCGAGUGGCGGGUGGGCAGGUGGCUGUGGGAUUCACGAAGCCUCCUCUGCUGGGGAUCGCCUCCUCUCGGAGUGGCCUCCCCUCCGGCGAUCCGCUUUAGUAAGAAGACGCUCAGGCCAAACAGCCGCCCCGGCCAGCCCGCCUCGGCUCCGGAGGGAGCGCCCCGAGGGAGCCGAGCCGGCGGCGGAGAGGGCCAUUCGGCAUAAGGUGGGGAGCCGCCGGGGUCCCCUCGCACCUCCGUCUCCACAGCACGGGGAACGGCCCUGAUCGUCGUGGUCUACACCACCGCGUCCACCUGAGGCUCGCCUCGCUUCCUGGGUGCCCAGAAGGGUGGCUUACUCCGUUUUCUCCUGCCCCCAAGUGGCCGCACCCCUCCACGGGACGCUUGGUUGGGUCCAGGGCGGGGCGGACGGGUGCUCCCUGUACGGUCGCUAGCUCGGCGCUCAGCUCCC